UUGUGCGAAACCUCAGAAAGGGUGGAAGCCUGGAUGCUGGUUAGUGGCGAACAGGUGAGUAACACGUAGGUUAUCUGCCCCGAAGUGGGGAAUAACUGUUCGAAAGGGCGGCUAAUUCCGCAUGUGUUCCAACUUUGUUGGAAGAAAGGGAUUUCGGUCCCGCUUUGGGAUGAGCCUGCGGCCGAUUAGCUAGUUGGUAGGGUAAUGGCCUACCAAGGCGACGAUCGGUAGCUGGUCUGAGAGGACGGUCAGCCACACUGGAACUGAGACCAGGUCCAGACUCCUACGGGAGGCAGCAGCAAGGAAUAUUGCACAAUGAGGGAAACCUCGAUGCAGCAACGCCGCGUGAGCGAUGAAGGCCUUCGGGCUGUAAAGCUCUUUACUGAGGGACGAGAGAGGACGGUACCUCAGCAACAAGCCUCGGCUAACUACGUGCCAGCAGCCGCGGUAAAACGUAGGAGGCGAGCGUUAUCCGGAUUUACUGGGCGUAAAGGGCAAGUAGGCGGUAGCUUAAGUUGGGCGUGAAAUCUCCUGGCUUAACUGGGA
RNAcentral lists this ribosomal RNA (546 nucleotides) under uncultured bacterium. RNAcentral's name for it is "bacterial SSU rRNA". It matches the Rfam family "Bacterial small subunit ribosomal RNA", at positions 62 to 618 of the family's 1533-position model. The record is from RNAcentral.